UACGUAGGUGGCAAGCGUUAUCCGGAAUUAUUGGGCGUAAAGCGCGCGUAGGCGGUUUUUUAAGUCUGAUGUGAAAGCCCACGGCUCAACCGUGGAGGGUCAUUGGAAACUGGGAGACUUGAGUGCAGAAGAGGAGAGCGGAAUUCCAUGUGUAGCGGUGAAAUGCGUAGAUAUAUGGAGGAACACCAGUGGCGAAGGCGGCUCUCUGGUCUGUAACUGACGCUGAGGCUCGAAAGCGUGGGGAGCAAACAGGAUUAGAAACCCGCGUAGUCC
This 273-nucleotide ribosomal RNA is filed under the name uncultured Abiotrophia sp. RNAcentral describes it as "partial 16S ribosomal RNA". It matches the Rfam family "Bacterial small subunit ribosomal RNA", at positions 524 to 796 of the family's 1533-position model. The record is from RNAcentral. Lineage: Bacteria; Bacillati; Bacillota; Bacilli; Lactobacillales; Aerococcaceae.